Long non-coding RNA from Pezoporus occidentalis (night parrot), 912 nucleotides. RefSeq lists it as uncharacterized. NCBI's taxonomy places the organism in Eukaryota, Metazoa, Chordata, Aves, Psittaciformes, Psittacidae. The record is from RefSeq and is a predicted model, not a curated record. The transcript is spliced from 3 exons.
UCACCACCUCCUUCGGUCGCCGCCACCACAACCGCCGCCGAGCCGGCCGCCUUCUCCAUAGCCGCCGAUCCGCUUCGCUCAGCGCCCGCAAGUUUCCUGUGAGUGAAGAAAGUAGAUAAAUUCCAGACAGACUGAGAAUUAAACCAGGGUGGUGCUAGCCUGAGAGGACUGCUUAAAGUUACAGCAGCCCUGUUCAUCGAGGGGCAGCACUUCUAUGUGGACAGAAGGUAAAAGAUUUACAUUAAUGCUACCACUCAGAUACACACCCUAUGAUGGCCCCUUUGGGAUUGACUACUGUUUACAUCUGGCAGACAAUGUGCCUGGAAAAAUAUUUAUACUAUCAGGCUAGUUUAUGUCUGGACAAGACAGGGUGAGAAACUUUUUUUUGUGAGAUCUUGGUUUCACUGAAGGCAAUGUAAGAAAUUUCUUUGCUACCUCAAAAAUGAGUGUAAAAUGGACAAAAAACUUUUUUCACAGAGCUCAAAUGCUAACUAGAAAAAUUGUCUAAAAGCCUAAAAUGAUCGGAUUCCCCCAGCAUCCUGUGGAGCCUGUUUUCCAAAACAGAACCUUCUCAGCCGUGUUUACUGUGUUCUAUUCUACUCAUUGACUCUUGUAAUUUGCCAUUUUGUCUUCACUUCAAAGCAUUUCCUUUCAACAGCUAUAUAUUGCUGAUUCCUGAUCUCUUAUUUUAGGGAGAGGUUGGGAUACAAUUCUUUUUAAAAAGAUCAAUCUUUCUGUUAUUUCACAUUGACACAGUAGAUGGAGCUGGCAAUCCAUCUUCAGCUAUAACCAAAACCAGUCAGAAUUGAGGGCCUGGACCGACAAAUUCUUACUCAUCCCAACAUUCUGGACAUGACAUUUUACUAAAGCAUUUGAUUCUUAAACAUCUUUUUUCUUAAAAAAAAAGAAUAA